RNAcentral lists this unclassified non-coding RNA (344 nucleotides) under soil metagenome. RNAcentral's name for it is "partial contains 5.8S ribosomal RNA, internal transcribed spacer 2, and large subunit ribosomal RNA". The stretch from base 1 to 120 matches the Rfam family "5.8S ribosomal RNA", at positions 35 to 154 of the family's 154-position model. The record is from RNAcentral.
GAUGAAGAACGCAGCGAAAUGCGAUAAGUAAUGUGAAUUGCAGAAUUCAGUGAAUCAUCGAAUCUUUGAACGCACAUUGCGCCCGCCAGUAUUCUGGCGGGCAUGCCUGUUCGAGCGUCAUUUCCACCAUCAGGCCCCCGGGCCUGUGUUGGGGACCUGCGGCUGCCCGCAGGCCCCGAAAUUCAGUGGCGGUCGCGCCGUAGCAACCGAGCGUAGUAACUAAAACGUCUCGCUCUCGCUCGCUGGGCGCGCUCCGGCCGUAAAACACCCCCCCUUUUCGCAAAGGUUGACCUCGGAUCAGGUAGGAAUACCCGCUGAACUUAAGCAUAUCAAUAAGCGGAGGA